Molecule: ribosomal RNA, 432 nt
Filed under: uncultured bacterium
Lineage: Bacteria
Description: partial 16S ribosomal RNA
Rfam family: Bacterial small subunit ribosomal RNA
Source: RNAcentral
ACGCACGCUGGCGGCAGGCUUCACGCAUGCCAGUCGAGCGCAUCCUUCGGGGUGAGCGGCGGACGGGUGAGUAACGCGUGGGAACGUGCCCUCUUCUACGGAAUAGCCUCGGGAAACUGAGAGUAAUGCCGUAUACGCCCGCAAGGGGAAAGAUUUAUCGGAGGAGGAUCGGCCCGCGUUGGAUUAGGUAGUUGGUGGGGUAACGGCCUACCAAGCCGACGAUCCAUAGCUGGUUUGAGAGGAUGAUCAGCCACACUGGGACUGAGACACGGCCCAGACUCCUACGGGAGGCAGCAGUGGGGAAUCUUGGACAAUGGGGGCAACCCUGAUCCAGCCAUGCCGCGUGAUCGAUGAAGGCCUUAGGGUUGUAAAGAUCUUUCAGCUGGGAAGAUAAUGACGGUACCAGCAGAAGAAGCCCCGGCUAACUCCGUG